CAGCAGCCACGGUAACACGGAGGGAGCUAGCGUUGUUCGGAAUUACUGGGCGUAAAGCGCGCGUAGGCGGUUACUCAAGUCAGAGGUGAAAGCCCGGGGCUCAACCCCGGAACUGCCUUUGAAACUAGGUGACUAGAAUCUUGGAGAGGUCAGUGGAAUUCCGAGUGUAGAGGUGAAAUUCGUAGAUAUUCGGAAGAACACCAGUGGCGAAGGCGACUGACUGGACAAGUAUUGACGCUGAGGUGCGAAAGCGUGGGGAGCAAACAGGAUUAGAUACCCCAGUAGUCCCUGUCUCUUAUAU
RNAcentral lists this ribosomal RNA (301 nucleotides) under uncultured bacterium. RNAcentral's name for it is "partial 16S ribosomal RNA". It matches the Rfam family "Bacterial small subunit ribosomal RNA", at positions 509 to 809 of the family's 1533-position model. The record is from RNAcentral.